AAGGCUUUGAAAACCAUCGAUCUGAGUAGUAGAGUCAAAAGUCUGACUCGAAUAGCCAUGAAUGGACGGAGAAAGGUCAGAGACGACUGGAGAAUAGCCAUCAAGCAAAGACAGGACAAAACCAUUCAUGAUCAUGUCAUGAGACAACAGAAUUGAACACGUAGAAGCAAUGGGAGGUGGAUACAAGUCUCUGAUAACCCUGGAAGCCAUAGAUCUGAGAGAUAUUAGGGUUGUAUUUUGAUGGCGGCGACUAGAGUUUGAGAGGAUUUGAGAGAGGAUUGAGAGAGAAAUGGGGUUCAGAG
This 302-nucleotide long non-coding RNA is filed under the name Nicotiana benthamiana. RNAcentral describes it as "long non-coding RNA (NBEN_LNC039951)". Lineage: Eukaryota; Viridiplantae; Streptophyta; Magnoliopsida; Solanales; Solanaceae. The record is from RNAcentral.